RNAcentral lists this small nucleolar RNA (141 nucleotides) under Ochotona princeps (American pika). RNAcentral's name for it is "Small nucleolar RNA SNORA74 (ENSOPRG00000023230.1)". Lineage: Eukaryota; Metazoa; Chordata; Mammalia; Lagomorpha; Ochotonidae. The record is from RNAcentral.
UCCAGUUAUAGGCAACUGUCUAGGUUUCCUUGUACCUAGGGCAAGUGUUACACUACUGGGAGGAAGCAGCCAGUAGCUGGCAGGCAUUCUGGGCUUGGUUAAUGCUAAAUUUAGUGUUAACUAUACCAGUGUGCCAGCAUA